AAAAUGGACCCGUGUGGAUAGAGAAGGGAGCAGCUGAAAUUCUCAGCCUCUGAUAGGUCCCACCCUAGGAAACCAACUAACCACCCUAAGAUGCAGCACAGUGAAACGUGGGGAUUAUCGGAUGCACGGAUGGGAAGCAGCGCAAAGAUGACAUCUCCAACCAAGGCAAGCAGCACUGUACUUGGGAGCAGGGCAGUGGACACAGGGAGGGCUCAAGGUCAAUUCACUGAAAGAACUCAUACUCGUAGCAGCGGACCCACAGAAUCAAAGCUCCUUCUGGUCCCCAUAGGCUCCUGUGGGCGCUUGAUUAACAGAGAUGGGAGCCCUCGCCACCACCUGCACCCAGGAACUGAAUCAUGAGUCUUUUGAAGAUAACCUCACAUCCGAGAAACAGGAUGUAAAUUGUCUGAAGAUCUAUUUAUUCAUUCAUCAAAUACAGGUGCAUUAGAGUACCUGCCUUCUCCCAGGUGCUAUGGCAGACACCCUCCUGGCAGGGUGACAGGACCAUUAUGAACAGCCAGUGAAAGGACAGCAGGGUUCUGGAGGAGACUGUCUGGCUCUGGCAUGUAUGUCCCUUAGUCCCCAUGUCUUAGCCUCUGCUGGAGGUUGGAUUAAG
Mus musculus (house mouse) is the source of this 616-nucleotide long non-coding RNA. RefSeq annotates it as RIKEN cDNA 9930038B18 gene. The record is from RefSeq and is a predicted model, not a curated record. The transcript has 3 exons. NCBI's taxonomy places the organism in Eukaryota, Metazoa, Chordata, Mammalia, Rodentia, Muridae.